RNAcentral lists this ribosomal RNA (405 nucleotides) under Azadinium dalianense. RNAcentral describes it as "partial small subunit ribosomal RNA". It matches the Rfam family "Eukaryotic small subunit ribosomal RNA", at positions 30 to 432 of the family's 1831-position model. Lineage: Eukaryota; Dinophyceae; Gonyaulacales; Amphidomataceae. The record is from RNAcentral.
GCUUGUCUCAAAGUUAAGCCAUGCACGUGUAAGUAUAAAAUAACCUAUACUAUUGAAACUGCGAAUGGCUCAUUAUAUCAGUUAUAGUUUACAUGAUAAUAAUUUUCUACUUGGAUACCCGUAGUAAUUCUAGAGCUAAUACAUGCACCCGUGCCCGACUUUGUGGAAGGGUUGUGUUUAUUAGUUACAGAACCAGCCCAGGCUCUGCCUGGUCUUGUGGUGAUUCAUAAUAACCGAACGAAUCGUAUGGCAUCAGCUGGCGAUGAAUCAUUCAAGUUUCUGACCUAUCAGCUUCCGACGGUAGGGUAUUGGCCUACCGUGGCAAUGACGGGUAACGGAGAAUUAGGGUUCGAUUCCGGAGAGGGAGCCUGAGAAACGGCUACCACAUCUAAGGAAGGCAGCAGG